UACGUAGGUGGCAAGCGUUGUCCGGAAUUAUUGGGCGUAAAGCGCGCGCAGGCGGUCCUUUAAGUCUUAUGUGAAAGCCCACGGCUCAACCGUGGAGGGUCAUUGGAAACUGGGGGACUUGAGUGCAGGAGAGAAGAGUGGAAUUCCACGUGUAGCGGUGAAAUGCGUAGAGAUGUGGAGGAACACCAGUGGCGAAGGCGGUACGCUGGACCCUCUCUGACGCUGAGGCGCGAAAGCUAGGGGAGCGAACGGG
Molecule: ribosomal RNA, 253 nt
Filed under: uncultured bacterium
Lineage: Bacteria
Description: partial 16S ribosomal RNA
Rfam family: Bacterial small subunit ribosomal RNA
Source: RNAcentral